RNAcentral lists this ribosomal RNA (864 nucleotides) under uncultured bacterium. Its description in RNAcentral is "bacterial SSU rRNA". It matches the Rfam family "Bacterial small subunit ribosomal RNA", at positions 56 to 916 of the family's 1533-position model. The record is from RNAcentral.
UGCAAGUCGAGCGGAUGACGGGAGCUUGCUCCUUGAUUCAGCGGCGGACGGGUGAGUAAUGCCUAGGAAUCUGCCUGGUAGUGGGGGACAACGUUUCGAAAGGAACGCUAAUACCGCAUACGUCCUACGGGAGAAAGCAGGGGACCUUCGGGCCUUGCGCUAUCAGAUGAGCCUAGGUCGGAUUAGCUAGUUGGUGGGGUAAUGGCUCACCAAGGCGACGAUCCGUAACUGGUCUGAGAGGAUGAUCAGUCACACUGGAACUGAGACACGGUCCAGACUCCUACGGGAGGCAGCAGUGGGGAAUUUUGGACAAUGGGCGAAAGCCUGAUCCAGCAAUGCCGCGUGUGUGAAGAAGGCCUUCGGGUUGUAAAGCACUUUUGUCCGGAAAGAAAUGGCUCUGGUUAAUACCUGGGGUCGAUGACGGUACCGGAAGAAUAAGGACCGGCUAACUACGUGCCAGCAGCCGCGGUAAUACGUAGGGUCCAAGCGUUAAUCGGAAUUACUGGGCGUAAAGCGUGCGCAGGCGGUUGUGCAAGACCGAUGUGAAAUCCCCGAGCUUAACUUGGGAAUUGCAUUGGUGACUGCACGGCUAGAGUGUGUCAGAGGGGGGUAGAAUUCCACGUGUAGCAGUGAAAUGCGUAGAGAUGUGGAGGAAUACCGAUGGCGAAGGCAGCCCCCUGGGAUAACACUGACGCUCAUGCACGAAAGCGUGGGGAGCAAACAGGAUUAGAUACCCUGGUAGUCCACGCCCUAAACGAUGUCAACUAGUUGUUGGGGAUUCAUUUCCUUAGUAACGUAGCUAACGCGUGAAGUUGACCGCCUGGGGAGUACGGUCGCAAGAUUAAAACUCAAAGGAAUUGACGG